AGCAGAUAAACCACGAACUCUGCAUCAAGAGAUAGAGAAAACAUAUGUUGCAGGCCCAUUUGCCCGGGCCCAAGAAAGAAACAAAAGAACCCAUACCAGCAGACCCACCAACUCCGCCGUUCACUUGCUGGCCGCCGCACGUCCCAUCGCUGCUCACCUGCUCCACCUGCUCUGCCGCUCCCAUGCCACUUGCACCUGCAAAGAGAAACAAACACGCAACAGUCAAAGAAAAGAAAGGAAAAAGAAAACAAAAAAUAGGAAUUAAUAUUGGCUAUAAAAGCCAUGCAUAUAACUCUUUUUGGGGGCUGGCUGGCAACUUUUGUAACAAAAACAAGAAUAGAUUCAACCGAAAGAAAAUAAAAAAGGCAGAUUCAAGGUCUCUUUCUUUUCAGUUUUGAAGUUUUUUUUUUAUUUAUCUAUUUUACUCUCUUUUUCUCUUCAUAUAUAUAAAAAUAAAGAUAGUAAAAAAGGAGUUAAAACAAAACCUUACCUGCGCCGCACCGGAGGAGAGAAGACGAGCGGUUUCCCCUCGAUCUUCGGGUCUCCGGCUUCUUUUUCGGGGAUUUGGCCUUAGAUCCGUACCCUAGGGACGCUAGGCUUAAAAAGGGGACCGAAAAGGUCCGAUUUUGGACCUCCGGCCACCAUACGCGGCGGCGCUAGGGCGGAGAAUCGCCGGAGGCCCAGUUCGGCCGAUGACCAGCGCCGGGCCUGAAAGAAUGAGAGAGAGACUCUCCCUCUCAGCCCUUUUUUUGCUAAAAAUGAAUCUGAUUUGUUUUUUUUUUGUUUUUUCUAUUAUUUAUAUUCGAAAUGAAACGACGCCGUUUUAGCCAGGGGGAUCCGCGCGUCGACCCGACCCGACCCGAAGGAUCCGCGUGUUUUAGUUUUUUGGGCAAUUUAUGCGCGCAGUCCCUCUGAUUCGCGGCGUGUUUCAAUUCGGUCCUAUUUUGUUGUUUUAUUUUAUUUUGAUUUAGCCCUAACAUUUUAUUUUUGUUUUAUUUUAGUCCAUAGAGGUGCUGCGUUUUGGGAUUGAGGGUUUAAUUACCCUUUCGGUCCCUCCUUUUUACGCCCGCUUGCAAUUAGGUCCCUCCGCCUUCUUUUUAUUUUUAAAUUGGCCCAGAAACUUUAUUUUAUUUCGAUUUAGGUCCCUUUUUAAGCAUUUUUUUUUUUUGCUCAUUUAUUUAUUUAUUAUUAUUAUAUUAUUAUUUAUAUAUAUGUACUUAUAUACUAUAAUAUAUAUGUCUAAAAUUAUUAUGAAUCUAUAUAUUUAUAAACUUUAAUAUCUAUCUAAUAAUAAUAUUAUAUUAUAUAUUCAAUAUUUUUUUUUAUAUCUAUCCUGCUUUUUUUUAUUUAUUUAAUAUCUAUAUAUUUAUAUACAUAUACUACAUAAUAUUUAUACCUACGCAUAUACAAUAUAAUAUACGUGCAUACGAAUAAUUUUAUUUUUAUUUUAUGAGCAUUUCUAUUUCCUUAUUUAUGUAUAUACAUGUAUUUUAUAAUUAUAUAUAUACUUCUUUUUUUGUAUUUAAAUUUAUGUUUUUACCCCGUAUAAUUUGUUUCUAACAUACAUACAUAUAUAUCACCAUUUUAUUCAUUAUUAUAAUUGUCAUUUCAUGUUGAUUUAUUUAUUUAUCUACAUGUUCGUUAUUAUUUGCUUAAAUGUCUUUAUUCUUAUUUGUUUAUUUUUUAUUUUUGUUGACUUUUUAUUAUUUACCAUGCAUAAAAAUGUAAUUUGCUUUCACUAUGAUUUUGUGUUUUAUCUUACUUGAUGUAACAAUUUUUUUUUUUUAAUGGCAUUUCGUGUUUGGAUUCGAGAAAAUCGUGCCCUAACUUACUGGGUUUCGAUUUUCUCGAUGAAUCUAAAUACACGAAUCUUUUCAAAAUCAAGUUUUAAAUGAUCUCGAAUUUUAAAAAAAGGGGUCGCAUCCUAACUUACUGGUUAUGAUCUCAUUUUUAAAUUCGAGAUGGCUAAAAUUUCUUAAAUAAACUUUUUCAUUCGCGUAUCGAGAAUUUGAGAUAUUGUAUUCUAACUUACUGGAUAUGAUUCUCUUUCUCGAAUAACGUGAAAUAUCCCCUUUUUCCUGAAAAUUUUCAACGUUUUAAUACAAGGAUCGUAUUUUUAAAAUUCUUCAAGGUUCUCAAUUUUUGACAUUAAGACAUUAAGUAAUCAACUAGGUACCAAUUUUGGGCGUAUCGAGGGUGCUAAUCCUUCCUCGUGCGUAACCGACUCCCGAACCCGUUUUUCUGAAUUUCGUGGACCAAACUUGUUGUUUUAAUAAAAUCAAACCGUUUAUUAAAAACAACUCCUCUUCGAGGUGAUCCAAUCGCACCUCAUAAAAAAGAGGAUUGGUGGCGACUCCCGUUUCUUUUUUCAAAACCCAAGUCAACCCCGUUUUUCAUCCAAAAAAUGGUGUCAACAGCUUGGCGACUCCGCUGGGGACAUGUUAAGAGAGUCAAGCCACGUGUUGAUUAUUUCUUGUCUUUUUGUCGAAAGUUGAAAAUUCGAUUGAAAUUUACGAUCCUCUCAUUGCAUCUCUAUUGUUUUGAGUUAUAUUUUUAUCGUGUUCUGUAUUUUAUUUUAUACCUCUGCGCAUUGCAUUGCAUGACCGUUGGUCACACCUUUUUAAGUGAGAGUGAGAAGCUACGCCUUCGUGAGGUUUUCACCUCCGCAUGGGAUAGUGAAUCGCUUUCGGGAUAUAUCUGUACCUAUGUCUUCGUGAGAUUUUCAUCUCCGCAUGGCCAUAGGGAAAUGUAUCCCCCUGAAUCGAACUUGGUCCGUAUGAGCCUAUAAUGGGUGAGGAUCGAGGAAUUUGCUGGUUCAGGUACCCUACUUUAGAACCAAACCACAUGUAAUGAGCCAUAGGAACCGACCUAGGUAGAGUUACUCUAAAUUUUUAGUGCUUACCUAAAUGAAUGUUGUAUUUAUUUAUCGUUUAUUUUAAAUCUUAUUCUGUGUUUAAUGCUAAUUUACUUUGUUUGUGAUUGCAUGGCAUCUUCAUUCUAAAAGAGGUGUUGAUUUACGUUCAGUUUCUUGGUAGAAAGCUUAUCAUGGAAAAGGGGUUUGUUGAUAAAGUAGAGGAUAAUGCGGCUGUGCGAAUAUGGGCUGAAACUACGCAACGGGAGAAAGGCGAUAGUCUUACCGAAGGGUACGUGUCAGAAUUGUGGGAUUUUACCCGUAUCAGUGUAAUCCAGAAUGACCUUCGAGAAAUGAAAGAAGUCUGGGAUCAAUGGGAUGUCGAGGCCAAGGAGCUGUUCUAUUGUAACUAUGGUGACCUACCUUAUCUGCUUAGUGUCAAAGUGGACAAGUAUUUAUUCCGAGCCCUUGCUCAGUUUUGGAAUCCUGCCUACAGUUGUUUCACUUUUGGGAAGGUAGAUUUGACGCCUACUGUAGAGGAGUAUACGACCUUACUUCGGUGCCCAAAGAUUCAAGUCGACAAGGCUUAUUCCAGAGCUGCUUGUGUCCCUCCGUUGUUAAAGAAAUUAAUGAACAUCACUGGGAUGAGCGAGCAGUGGGUCGCUGCCCGGAUCCAACAGAAGGGCGACAGUAAAUGUGUUCCUUGGAAAAGUUUACGAGAUUUGGUGCUUGUACAUCCUGACUUAAAGAAAAGGGUCGAUGUCUUCGCUUUAGGUAUCUAUGGACUAGUGGUUUUCCCCAAAGCUUUAGGACACAUAGACGAGGCUGUAUCUGAUUUGUUCGAUCGGCUGGGUAAAGGGGUUACACCGGUUCCGGCAAUACUCGCUGAAACUUUUAGAUCUUUGAAUGCGUGUCGAAAAGCAGGGGAGGGAAGGUUUAUUGGAUGCGCGCAGCUCUUAUUGGCAUGGUUCCAUAGCCACUUCUGGAAAGUCGAAAAGGUCUCUUACCGGGUAUUCUCCGAUAGCUACUCCCCUCUAGGAGAAUUGGUGGCCACGCCAAGACGGGAUGAUAUUUCAGAAGAAAAAUGGAUAGAGAUACUCCAGAAUCUCCAAGAUGAAGAUAUUGAAUGGAGGGCUCCUUGGUUAAUUCCUGAUGAGAUAUUGUACCGAUGUGGAGAUUUUGACUGGGUUCCGUUGCUCGGAAUAUGGGGGGCUAUUGGAUAUGCUCCUCUACUCGUGUCAAGACAGUAUAGAUCACGACAAUUCAUACCAGCAACCCAGGGGUUGGCUUAUAGUGAUUUUUCCUAUAGGGAGGACAAUUACAAGAAGAAGGUUCGAGAAAUAUCUAGUGCCUGGAACCAGACGCGUCGAAUGAAGAUCUUAGCUGUGGGUCCGACAAUUACCCCCGAGUAUGGACAGUGGCGUAAUCAAAGGAUCAACGACAACAUCUCGGCGUCAAAUUCAGAAACGGCUCGAUCUUUAGAGGAACACUUACAAGUCUUGCCUUCUGAGAUAGAAAUCAUCAAACAAGAAUUCGAAAAAAGAAGUUUAGAAUUGGGGAAGAAGAUAGAACAACUUGAGGAAGAAAAAAUGCAGUUAGGACUGGAUGUGGACAUUCAAAGAUUAGAGGCCAACAAAUUGAGGAAAGGAAAGAACAAGGCAGAAGAAGAUUUGGACAGCCUGAAGACAGAUUACAAGAAGUUGCGUAAGUCAGUAAGAGCCGCUGGCUUGGGAAAAACACCAGAACAAUGGCGACAAGAAAUUCAGGAGGAAAAGACGAAAGCUAAUCAAUGGGAAAAGAAAUUUCAGGAUGCUCGGGCUCGAGAAGCCGCCUUGGGAAAGAGUCUACUAGUUUGCCAAGACGAGAAGACGGAGUUGAAGGUCCGGAUAACAGAACUGGAAAGAUCGCUUCGCCAGUACUGUAAUCGUAAUGCUACGGUUGAAUUAAGGGCGAGCUUAGACAAAAUUGAAGAAUUAAAAACACAGAUAGGAGGGCUAGAGAAUGCAUUGCAAAAUAGUGAAAUCCGGAUAGAGCUUCUAGAAGAAAGUAAUGAGCAGUGGCAAGGACAAUUCCGUCAGUCUCAAGAGCAGAUUGGAGAAAGAGAUUAUAUUAUGGGAGAGGCGGUGACUCAGGUGCGCGAAGUGGCUGAUCAUCUGCAAACUCUAGCGGUUCAGGCUGAUCUAUUAAGUUUGAAGUAUGAGUCAGAGUCGGACAGGGGCCGAGAAUUAGCUUGGCUUCUUAGAAAGGUUAAGGCUUUGAGUGUGAGGGCAAAGCCAUAUAUGUAGUCUAUUUUAUGUAAAGAAACUCUUUAUCUAGUAAAGUUUUCUAAUGAAGUUGAAUUAAAAUCAGUGCCUCUUUUUCUUUGCAUUCUCUUUCAUGCAUUGCAUCACAUCAUAUGCAUUAAUGACCAUUAAAAAAAAACCUAAUCGAAUAAAAUCAUUUCAGUUAACCUGGAAAACCAACAAAGUUACGGCACCCGAGCAAAGACAAAAAUUAUGGACCAAAGGUUAGAGAAGCUAGAGCGACUUCAAAGAGAAAUGCAAGACCAGUUGCAGGCGCAAAUGAAAGAGCAAAUAGAAAAGAUUCAGCGUGACAUGGUACAAAAGAUGGAGGAGUCCCAAAAUGAUCUGGUGGCUAAGAUGACGCAAUUAUUGAAGGGAGUAGAUAAGGGUAAAGGGCCUGUGAUUGUUAGUGAAGAAGAAAACAAUGGUGAACCACUCUAUCCUCCAGGUUUCACGCCUCCACAUGUACAGACUGAGCUGCAUUCGCGGAGACCCUCCGUGUCGGUUAGACCCCAGCAGUUCCAAGGCGAUGCUUCAAUCCCAAUGAAUUUUCAACCCGGAGCGGGCUUUAAUCCCGGUGAUAGCCCGAAUAAUAUUGCGGUCCCAGAUCUUGACGAGAUGGUUGAAAAGGACAAGGCGAAGGAGGAAUUUCCAAAACAAUUUGAGGAGAAAUGGAAAUGGAUAGAAGAGAAGUUUAGGGCAAUAGAAAGCAUCGAAAGCUAUGGAACAGAUGCAAAGGAUCUGAGCUUGGUUCCGGACUUGGUGCUCCCUUACAAAUUUAAGAUGCCGGAAUUCGAGAAAUACAACGGGACUAGUUGCCCAGGAUCCCAUAUUACUAUGUUUUGUAGAAGAAUGACGGGGCAUAUUAAUAAUGAUCAAUUAUUAAUACAUUGCUUUCAGGAAAGUCUUACGGGAGCGGCGUCAAAGUGGUACAAUCAGCUGAGCCGAGCUAAAAUUGCUACUUGGAGGGAUUUAGCACAGGCUUUCUUGAGACAAUACAAUCAUGUCUCAGAAAUGAUGCCUGACAGGAUAACUCUGCAAAAUUUAGAGAAGAAAUCAAACGAAAGCUUCAGACAAUAUGCGCAGAGGUGGCGAGAGGUGGCGGUUCAGGUGCAACCACCGCUUUUGGAAAAAGAGAUGACGACGCUUUUUAUUAAUACUUUGAAAGCCCCGUUCAUCACUCACAUGUUGGGAAGCGCUUCAAGAAAUUUCUCAGAUAUAAUCAUGAAUGGUGAAAUGAUUGAGCAUGCCAUUAAAAGUGGAAAAAUAGAUGGAGGAGAAAAUAAUAGGAGGGCACCCCCGAGGAAAAGAGAAAAUGAAGUGAAUAAUGUGAAUGCUUAUGGUAGGUCAAUUACCGUGAAUCAACCAAAGAAAGUGGUUGCUAAUCAACAAGGAUCAUCAAGACAAGAGUCAGGAGCUAGGCAAACUACUGAAAAGCCCCAAUUCACGCCAAUCCCGAUGUCAUACAAGGAGUUGUAUCAGACUUUAUUCGACGCACAUGUUGUUGCUCCUCGUUACCUGAGUCCUCUACAACCCCCGUAUCCAAAAUGGUACGAUACGAACGCGCAAUGUGAUUAUCAUGCGGGAAUUUCUGGGCACUCGAUAGAAAAUUGUACUGCCUUCAAGAAGGUAGUAGAAGGACUUAUCAAUUUAGGUGUUGUCAAACUUGACGACUCACCUAACGCAAAGAAUCCGUUACCUAAUCACGCAGAUAAGGGGGUGAAUAUGGUUAGCGAAGGUACGGGAGAAGAAGUCAAGACUGACAUUGCUGAAGUAAAAACUCCAUUGAAAUGGGUCUGGAAAGAAAUGGCGAAAAGAGGUUUGAUUAUUUCAGAUUCUGAGAAAGGGCAUGAGAUGGGAAAUUAUUGUGAAUUUCACCAUGAAACAGGGCAUGAAAUCCAAGAAUGUGAAGGAUUCAAGGCCUUGGUUCAAAGCAUGAUGGAUAACAAGGAGAUGAGGUUUUAUGAAGACGUGAAAGAAAUGAGGAGCAUAUGCGCGACAGAGUUGGGAACGAAGGCUCCAAAAAUAAAUCAUCCCGUGGUCAUUAUCUCCCGCCCUAAGGGUAAUGAGGUUAAGGCUCAGGUAACGCCGAAAAUUGUAAUCCAGAAACCAUCAAAUUUCUCUUAUAAAGAUAACAAAAUGGUGCCGUGGAAUUACGGGUGUAAUGUGACCAUUUUGGGAAAAGAAGCAGAAAGAAAUCAGGAAACAGUUUUUUACACGCGCAAGGGAAAAAGAUAUGACGCUCAAGCAGAGUCGUCCAGGGAAGAGAAUUGGAAGAAAGAACAAAGGAAAGGGAAGGCAGUAGAAGUUGAACCAUUGGUAAAUGAACCAAUAAAAGAAGAAGAGGCAAAGGAGUUUUUGAAGUUUUUGAAACACAGCGAAUACAGUGUUGUGGAGCAACUGCACAAACAGCCAGCCCGCAUUUCGGUAUUAGCUUUACUCUUAAACUCAGAAGUACAUCGGAAUGCACUCUUAAAGGUGCUAAACGAAACAUAUGUGGCUGACGAUAUUUCAGUAAACAAGUUGGAUCGGUUGAUCAACAAUAUUGGUGCUGACAAUUUUAUCUUCUUCAAUGAGGAUGAAAUACCAUCCGGAGGAAGAGGUUCUACUAAAGCCCUCCACGUUACUGUCCGAUGCAAAGGGUACACACUCCCGGGGGCCUUGGUCGAUAAUGGAUCUGCGCUAAAUGUAUUGCCUUUGUCCACUCUUAGUCGAUUACCAAUAGACAGUUCGCACAUGAAAGCAUGCCAGAGCAUAGUAAGGGCAUUUGAUGGAACAAAGAAGGAGGUUAUGGGGAGAAUUGAAGUACCAUUAAGGAUUGGCCCAGUCACUUAUGAGGUGGAUUUCUUGGUAAUGGAUAUUAAACCCUCCUACAACUGUCUAUUGGGGAGACCGUGGAUACACUCAGCAGGGGCGGUACCUUCAUCAUUACAUCAGAAGGUGAAGUUGGUAUCGGAGGAUCGGUUGGUAACAAUAGAUGCAGAGGAGGAUAUUAUCGCAAUGAUGACUAGCGAGACACCUUAUGUGGACAUCAACGAUGAGGCGCUGGAAUGUUCUUUUCGGUCGUUAGAAUUUGUGAACGCGAUGUUUAUUGCGGAGGGAAAUAGGAUUCCAGUACCGAAAAUGUCCAGGACCACUGAGAUGGGAUUGCGAUUGAUGGUAGGAAGAGGAGCCUUACCCGGGAAAGGAUUGGGAAAAUAUCUUCAGGGGAGGAUUGAGGCACCAAUGCCGAGGGAAAAGUUUGAUAGAUUUGGUUUAGGGUACAAGCCAGACAUGAAGCAGAAGAAGAAGGAAGUAGAGAAGAGACAAGCGAGAAGAAGGGCGCGUUUGAAUGGACAUGAAGCUAAGUGUGAGCCUUUAACCUUUCCCCACAUAUCUUCAUCUUUUGUGUCGGGAGGAUUUAUUCAUUCUGAAUGUGGGGUAUCCGGUAGCGGCAUGGGAGGAAUGUUGGAAAACGUUUAUAUUAACACCAUAGAAGCAACGGAAAGGAGGGCUUUGUUGGAGAUCCGCCCUUAUGAGCCUGGAAGCGAGCUAAACAAUUGGACUGCUGAAGAAAUCCCUGUAGUCUUUAGGGCUUAUUCAGAGUAAUGCUCAAAACAUUCCUGUUGUUUGUUGGCCUAGAAACGAUACGAAAUUUUUUGUGAAAUAGGCAUUGGGCCUAAAUAUCAUUAUUUUAAUAAAAUACGUGUCUACGUUCAUCUCGAUCAGUCAUUUUUUUUUCCUUUCAUAUUUUUCAUUUGGUUGAUUGUCUUACAAAUAAUUCUUUCAUUUGUGAUUCUUUUGCAAACACAUUCAUAAAUUUAUAUUCUUGGUAUAUUAUUUGAUCUGCCCACAUAGGUCUUCAGAUAUCAAUGACAUGAGUGAUGCUGUCUCAAACGCGGAGCCUAUUUUUGAGCAAGAAGUGUGUUCAGAGGGAUCCCACGACUUUGAAAAUGACGAAGAUUAUGAUGCAUCUCCGGACUUGUUAAGAAUGAUGGAACAAGAGGAUAAGCAUAUCCUACCUCAUAGGGAAUCGUUAGAAAUAGUGAGCCUAGAGGAUGGAAAGGAGGUGAAAAUUGGAACUGAAAUUACCGCAAAGACAAGGCAAGACCUCAUCAAUUUGCUCCGAGAGUUCAAGGAUGUUUUCGCGUGGUCGUACCAAGAUAUGCCUGGGCUAAAUACUAACAUUGUGGUACAUCGUCUGCCCAUAAAGGAGGAUUGUAAACCCGUUCAACAGAAACUUAGGAGAAUGAGACCUGACAUUGUGUUGAAAAUAAGAGAGGAAGUCAAAAGACAAUUCGACGCUGGUUUCUUACAAGAGGUCAAGUAUUCGGAUUGGGUAGCCAACAUCGUCCCUGUUCCCAAAAAAGAUGGAAAGGUACGAAUGUGUGUGGAUUAUAGGGAUUUAAACAAGGCUAGUCCAAAGGACAACUUUCCACUACCUCACAUUGAUACUUUGGUAGAUAACACGGCGGGCUAUUCAUUGUUUUCUUUCAUGGACGGUUUCUCUGGAUACAAUCAAAUAAAGAUGCAUCCCGGAGACAUGAGGAAAACCACAUUCAUUACCUUAUGGGGAACAUUCUGUUACAAGGUAAUGCCCUUCGGAUUGAAGAAUGCGGGAGCAACGUAUCAAAGAGCUAUGGUGACUUUGUUUCACGACAUGAUGCACAAGGAGAUCGAAGUAUAUGUUGACGAUAUGAUCGCGAAGUCUAGAACGGAAGAAGAGCAUGUUCAGGUCUUGAAAAGGUUAUUUUUGAGAUUAAAGAAAUUUCAGCUCAAGCUUAACCCGGCCAAAUGCACGUUCGGAGCCAGAUCAGGGAAGUUAUUAGGCUUCAUAGUUAGCAAAAAGGGGAUCGAGGUUGACCCAGACAAAGUAAAGGCAAUACGAGAUUUACCUCCCCCGCGCACUCAGAAGGAGGUUCGAGGUUUCCUAGGGAGGCUGAAUUACAUUGCUCGGUUCAUCUCACAACUGACAGAGAAAUGUGAUCCAGUAUUCCGGCUCUUAAAGAAACAUAAUCCGGGCAAUUGGGAUGAAGAGUGUCAGAGGGCUUUCGAUAAAAUAAAGCAGUACUUGGCUAAUACUCCAGUCUUAUCACCUCCAAGUCCAGAUAGGCCAUUGAUAUUGUAUCUAACAGUGUUGGAGAAUUCCAUGGGAUGUGUAUUGGGCCAACAUGAUGAGACGGGAAAGAAAGAAAGGGCUAUAUACUAUCUCAGUAAGAAAUUUACCGAUUGCGAAAUGAGGUACUCAUCAAUUGAGAAGUUGUGUUGUGCUCUAAUCUGGGCAACCCGAAGACUGAGGCAGUAUAUGUUGUAUCACACGACUUGGCUGAUUUCAAAGUUAGAUCCUUUAAAAUAUAUGAUGGAAUCGACCGCUUUGAACGGGAGAAUGGCUAGAUGGCAGAUCUUGCUCUCAGAAUUUGAUAUAGUAUAUGUCAGUCAGAAGGCCAUAAAGGGAAGUGCAAUAGCCGAUUUCCUAGCUAGUAGAGCCUUGGAGGACUAUGAAUCUUUGAAUUUUGAUUUUCCAAACGAGGACUUGAUGUAUGUGGCGAAUACUGAAGAAAAUCCUCAAAUGGAUCACGUAUGGAAGUUAAAUUUUGAUGGAGCUUCGAAUGCUACGGGUAAUGGAGUUGGGGCAGUUUUGGUAUCCCCGAGUGGAGAUCAUUAUCCUGUUGCCAGUAAGUUGGACUUCGAUUGUACAAAUAAUAUGGCAGAAUAUGAAGCAUGUAUUAUGGGCAUUCGUGCAGCCAUUGAACGGAACAUCAAAGUACUGAGAGUAUACGGGGAUUCAGCGUUGGUGAUAUACCAACUCAAAGGGGAGUGGGAGACUAGAGAUCCUAAGCUAAUUGGUUAUAGAAAACUAGUUCUUGAAUUGGCUGAGGAGUUUGACGAUAUCACCUUCUAUUACCUCCCACGGGAGGAAAACCAAAUGACUGAUGCAUUAGCUACUCUAGCUUCGAUGAUUCAGGUGAAUAGACUUGAGGCAAUGAGGCCUGUUCAGAUGAGUAUCUCUGAGACCCCGGCUAAUUGUUGCAAUAUUGAGGAGGAGGGAAAAGAUGAUUGUCCUUGGUAUCGGAGUAUCUUACAAUAUGUGAAGAAUCGGGAAUACCCUGAUCAAGCGACAGAGAAUGACAAAAGAACUCUGAGAAAGAUAGCCAUUGAAUAUGUCUUAGAUGGAGAAGUGUUAUACAAAAGAAGGAAGGAUCAAGUACUGUUAAGAUGUGUAGAUGCGGUAGAAGCCAAGAAAAUUUUGGAAGAAGUCCAUGAGGGUAUUUGUGGGACGCACGCCAGUGGUUUCACGAUGGCCAAACAGAUCAUGAGAUUUGGGUACUAUUGGCCCACCAUGGAAGGAGAUUGCAUUGAUCAUGCCAGGAAGUGCCACAAAUGCCAAAUUUACGGAGACAAAAUACACGCGCCUCCUUCACCUCUUCACGUCAUGACCUCUCCUUGGCCGUUUUCCAUGUGGGGUAUGGAUGUUAUUGGGCCAAUAUCACCAAAGGCUUCUAAUGGGCAUCGCUUCAUCUUCGUAGUAAUUGAUUACUUUACCAAGUGGGUGGAGGCUGCUUCAUAUGCAAAUGUCACAAAAGCAGUAGUCAGCAAAUUCUUGAAGAAGGAGAUCAUUUGUCGAUAUGGGAUGCCUGAGAGGAUCAUAUCCGACAACGCGAUGAACUUGAAUAAUAGCACAAUAGCUGAAGUUUGUAGCAAAUUUAAAAUUAAGCAUCAUAACUCAUCGCCGUAUCGUCCCAAAAUGAAUGGUGCAGUGGAGGCGGCCAAUAAAAACAUUAAAAGGAUUGUGGGGAAAAUGACUGAAACCUACAAGGAUUGGCAUGAGAAGUUAUCAUUUGCUCUCCUUGCCUAUCGAACAUCUGUUAGAACUUCUACUGGGGCAACGCCUUUUUCUCUGGUUUAUGGAAUGGAGGCAGUAUUACCCAUUGAAGUUGAAAUCCCUUCUCUACGGGUGUUAUCUGAGCUACAGUUGGAUGAAGCCGAUUGGAUCCAAUCUCGGUACGAUCAGUUGAACCUAAUAGAAGAAAAGAGGCUAAGAGCUAUUCACCAUGGGCAAAUGUACCAAAAACGAAUGAUGCGAGCUUAUAAUAAAAAGGUUUGCCCCCGAGAAUUUCGUGAAGGGGACUUGGUACUAAAAAAGAUUCUUCCUAUGCAAAAAGAUUUUAGAGGAAAAUGGAUGCCAAAUUGGGAAGGCCCUUAUGUUGUAAAGAAGGCCUUUUCCGGUGGAGCUUUGAUCCUAUGCGAGAUGGAUGGCAAAAGUUUACCAAAUCCUGUAAACGCAGACUCGGUCAAGAAGUACUUCACUUGAAAGAAAGGGGAACCAAAGUGAAAACCCGUAAAGGGCGCUUUGCUUCCUAAAAAAAAAAAAAAAAAAAAAAAAAAAAAAAAAAAAAACUUUGGAGAGGCUAAGGUGAAAACCCGUAAAGGGCACUUUGAGACCAAAGAGGGCUUGAGUCGAAAACCCGAAAAGGGCGACUCGAGUAUUGGGCAGGAUUGGAACAUCAGGACUUGAGCGGAUCAAAUUUUGAUCGGGGGAAUAUGAUGAUCUUCCUUUACUUGAACCAAUAAGAAAGGAUAUGCAACGUCUUUGAACAUUGACAGAGUAUUGCAGAUCUCCUGAACACAUGUCAAACUUAGAAGGGUCUUCGGAAAGUUUGUACAGAGAAACUCAAGCAGCGAUAGCUGGGGCACCUAGUUCUUAUGUGUAUUCUUGAAAAUACAUUUUCUUUCUUUCUCCCUUUCCUUUUGUGAAAACGCACAUUCUCAACCCACUUCUUUGUUACCUUUUCUUUCGCCAUCUUUGAUAUUUUAUUUGAGUUAUGAUCAGAACUAGCUUUAUUCUUAUCCAUUGUUAUGAUCUUUUUGCAAACAUGUUGCAUAGGAAUAUUGAUUAACGAACUAAUAAAACUUUCAGGAAAGAAGUUUUGCAUAUUACUCUGAAAAGUUCUAAAUAAUAUAGAAACCUGAAACAGGACUAUUGUUUAGAAAACACCAAGUUUAAAGGGUGAAGUAUCUAAGAUGGAAGAGUCUAAGCUAAAGACUAUCCUUUCAGAUUUUGUUGUCUAAAACAUUGAUUGAACAAAAUGACAAGUUGUCGUGUUAAUUACAAAGCUUAAAUGAACAAGCGAGCAAUGAUCAUCAGGCAAUAGGAAGAGGUUACCUCGGAGAAGAGAGCCUUCACUUACGCAUAAGACUUUGGUACGACACCUUGAGAAUGGUGUAGGAAACCAGAACGGUUCAGAUCCUAUAUCCCCAAAUUGUGAUAAAAGAGGACAGAGGAAAGGCCACAUAUUUCCACCUUUAGAUUACUGUGAGAGAAUGAUGGUACAAAUUUUGGCGUCCCGGUGGAUAUAACUUUGAGGUUUACAAGGGGGACAGUCUGGCUAAAUGUUUCUUCAGAAAAAUCAGUCAAGCGAGAAGGCGUUGUAGCACAUCAGUCACAAAACCUUGAUAAACUUCGAGUAGUGAUAACCUAAGCGAGAUCAUUCUCGGAAAAAUAAAAUUCUGCAUUCAUGCAAACACCAUUCACAUAUGUCUAGUUAGGAGCAUUUGUUUCAUUUUGAUCAUGUCAUCCUAAUCAUUAGGCAUAAUUAGGUUCAUAAUACAGGACUUAUCUCCCUGAGAUUACAGUGGAAUAGACCAAAGAAUUUCAGAUCUUAUCUCCCUGAGAUUACAGCGGAGCAGAUCAAAGAUAGUAAUCCUAUCUCCCUGAAGUUACAGUGGAGCGGAUUAAAAUAAAGGAUCUUAUCUCUCUGAAGUUACAGUAGAGUAGAUCGCAUCAGGUCUUAUCUCCCUGAGAUUACAGUGGAACAGACCGAAGAAUUGCAGAUCUUGUCUCCCUGAGGUUACAGCGGAGCAGAUCGAAGAUAUAAUCCUAUCUCCCUGAAGUUACAGUGGAGCGGAUUAAAAUAAAGGAUCUUAUCUCUCUGAAGUUACAGUAGAGUAGAUCGCAUCAGGUCUUAUCUCUCUGAGGUUACAGUGGAGUAGACCGAAGAAUUGCAGAUCUUAUCCCCCUGAAGUUACAGUGGAGCAGAUUGAAGCCAGAGACCUUAUCUCCCCGAGAUUACAGCGGAGCAGAUCGAAGACACUAUCCUAUCUCCCUGAAGUUACAGUGGAGUGGGUUAAAAUAAAGGAUCUUAUCUCUCUGAGGUUACAGCAGAGUAGGUCGCAUCAAGUCUUAUUUCCCUGAAGAUGCGGUGGAAUAGAUUGAAAACCACAAACCUCGUCCCCCUGAAGUUGCUACGAAGAAGAUAAAGGCUACAGGACGCAUCUCUCUAAAAUGCAGUGGAAUGGAUCGAAGCAACAAGACCUAGUGGACUGGAAUGAAACUACUUGAAAUGGAGAAGUACCAGAACAAGUCAAGACUCGGCAAGACCGGGCAAAAUGGGCCUUUCUUAGUCUUUGCUCUGUUAUCGUUACACGACAACGAGCAAAGAGGGGCAGCUGUUGCAGGCCCAUUUGCCCGGGCCCAAGAAAGAAACAAAAGAACCCAUACCAGCAGACCCACCAACUCCGCCGUUCACUUGCUGGCCGCCGCACGUCCCAUCGCUGCUCACCUGCUCCACCUGCUCUGCCGCUCCCAUGCCACUUGCACCUGCAAAGAGAAACAAACACGCAACAGUCAAAGAAAAGAAAGGAAAAAGAAAACAAAAAAUAGGAAUUAAUAUUGGCUAUAAAAGCCAUGCAUAUAACUCUUUUUGGGGGCUGGCUGGCAACUUUUGUAACAAAAACAAGAAUAGAUUCAACCGAAAGAAAAUAAAAAAGGCAGAUUCAAGGUCUCUUUCUUUUCAGUUUUGAAGUUUUUUUUUAUUUAUCUAUUUUACUCUCUUUUUCUCUUCAUAUAUAUAAAAAUAAAGAUAGUAAAAAAGGAGUUAAAACAAAACCUUACCUGCGCCGCACCGGAGGAGAGAAGACGAGCGGUUUCCCCUCGAUCUUCGGGUCUCCGGCUUCUUUUUCGGGGAUUUGGCCUUAGAUCCGUACCCUAGGGACGCUAGGCUUAAAAAGGGGACCGAAAAGGUCCGAUUUUGGACCUCCGGCCACCAUACGCGGCGGCGCUAGGGCGGAGAAUCGCCGGAGGCCCAGUUCGGCCGAUGACCAGCGCCGGGCCUGAAAGAAUGAGAGAGAGACUCUCCCUCUCAGCCCUUUUUUUGCUAAAAAUGAAUCUGAUUUGUUUUUUUUUUGUUUUUUCUAUUAUUUAUAUUCGAAAUGAAACGACGCCGUUUUAGCCAGGGGGAUCCGCGCGUCGACCCGACCCGACCCGAAGGAUCCGCGUGUUUUAGUUUUUUGGGCAAUUUAUGCGCGCAGUCCCUCUGAUUCGCGGCGUGUUUCAAUUCGGUCCUAUUUUGUUGUUUUAUUUUAUUUUGAUUUAGCCCUAACAUUUUAUUUUUGUUUUAUUUUAGUCCAUAGAGGUGCUGCGUUUUGGGAUUGAGGGUUUAAUUACCCUUUCGGUCCCUCCUUUUUACGCCCGCUUGCAAUUAGGUCCCUCCGCCUUCUUUUUAUUUUUAAAUUGGCCCAGAAACUUUAUUUUAUUUCGAUUUAGGUCCCUUUUUAAGCAUUUUUUUUUUUUGCUCAUUUAUUUAUUUAUUAUUAUUAUAUUAUUAUUUAUAUAUAUGUACUUAUAUACUAUAAUAUAUAUGUCUAAAAUUAUUAUGAAUCUAUAUAUUUAUAAACUUUAAUAUCUAUCUAAUAAUAAUAUUAUAUUAUAUAUUCAAUAUUUUUUUUUAUAUCUAUCCUGCUUUUUUUUUAUUUAUUUAAUAUCUAUAUAUUUAUAUACAUAUACUACAUAAUAUUUAUACCUACGCAUAUACAAUAUAAUAUACGUGCAUACGAAUAAUUUUAUUUUUAUUUUAUGAGCAUUUCUAUUUCCUUAUUUAUGUAUAUACAUGUAUUUUAUAAUUAUAUAUAUACUUCUUUUUUUGUAUUUAAAUUUAUGUUUUUACCCCGUAUAAUUUGUUUCUAACAUACAUACAUAUAUAUCACCAUUUUAUUCAUUAUUAUAAUUGUCAUUUCAUGUUGAUUUAUUUAUUUAUCUACAUGUUCGUUAUUAUUUGCUUAAAUGUCUUUAUUCUUAUUUGUUUAUUUUUUAUUUUUGUUGACUUUUUAUUAUUUACCAUGCAUAAAAAUGUAAUUUGCUUUCACUAUGAUUUUGUGUUUUAUCUUACUUGAUGUAACAAUUUUUUUUUUUAAUGGCAUUUCGUGUUUGGAUUCGAGAAAAUCGUGCCCUAACUUACUGGGUUUCGAUUUUCUCGAUGAAUCUAAAUACACGAAUCUUUUCAAAAUCAAGUUUUAAAUGAUCUCGAAUUUUAAAAAAAGGGGUCGCAUCCUAACUUACUGGUUAUGAUCUCAUUUUUAAAUUCGAGAUGGCUAAAAUUUCUUAAAUAAACUUUUUCAUUCGCGUAUCGAGAAUUUGAGAUAUUGUAUUCUAACUUACUGGAUAUGAUUCUCUUUCUCGAAUAACGUGAAAUAUCCCCUUUUUCCUGAAAAUUUUCAACGUUUUAAUACAAGGAUCGUAUUUUUAAAAUUCUUCAAGGUUCUCAAUUUUUGACAUUAAGACAUUAAGUAAUCAACUAGGUACCAAUUUUGGGCGUAUCGAGGGUGCUAAUCCUUCCUCGUGCGUAACCGACUCCCGAACCCGUUUUUCUGAAUUUCGUGGACCAAACUUGUUGUUUUAAUAAAAUCAAACCGUUUAUUAAAAACAACUCCUCUUCGAGGUGAUCCAAUCGCACCUCAUAAAAAAGAGGAUUGGUGGCGACUCCCGUUUCUUUUUUCAAAACCCAAGUCAACCCCGUUUUUCAUCCAAAAAAUGGUGUCAACAACAUAUAAGAGUAAAUUUUGCAAUAUGAAAAGAAACUUGCUUGCAGCAAAAACAAAAACAUGUAAAAUAAAUAAAUCUUGAAUAUACUUGUAGUAUCUCCUACUUUAAUAGUAAUUGAUGAAGUUCACGAGCAAAUAUAAAAUAGGGUAAACAACAGAAAUUAUCACUAAAGUAUUGCCCAUGAUCUUGGUCACUAAAUUUUAUUUUUUUUGUCGCCAUCUAAUAUUUACAUAUUCUAUCAAUUUGAUCCUAAAUAUAUAAAUUCAACAAAUUUAACCCUCAAUGUUACAUAAUUUGUCAUUUUAGUUCUAAUUUUUAAAAAUUCAAUAAAUUUAGUCCUCAACAUUUACAAAAUAACAAAUUUUGAUUUUUAAAAUUCAUUAAAUUUUAAUUCAAACAAUAACUUGAUGAUCGCCAGCUACAAACCACAUACAACAAAAUCAUACAACUCUGCUUAUUUGUUUUAUUUUGGUAAUGCAGUCUUCUUCUCUAACUGAACCCCUCCUAUGCCAGCUUACCAAGUUAUUGAUACAAACAUCUUGUUUUUCAAUAGUUUCAGUUGUUGCAGGGUCCAUUCACCCGAAAUCUCAGAUUUUGCUGCAGACUUUGCAUCCAUGGUUAUUUCAAGUUGAAACCUUGCUCCCCUUUGGUGGUGUAUUGCUAAACUUCCAAUUGAAUUGACUUGAAUUAUUAGGCAUUAGAUUACUUGCUACCUCAUUUAUCGGAACCUCAUCCAAAAUUUCUUUCAAAUAUUCUGCGGUGAGCUUUACUUUUAGUUAAUCAAUGUUACUAUCCAGAUUUUUUACCUUGGUUGUUCUUGUGAAGAAAAUGAAAGAAAGGGUCAAAACUUUUAAAAAAAUACAGAAACUUAAAAACUAAAAUUCGUCAUUUUAUAAAUGUUGAGGGCUAAAUUUAUUGACUUUUUAGAGUUUGAACAAAAAUAACAAAUUUUAUAAACAUUGAGAGCUAAAUUUGUUAAUUUUUUAUAUUUAAAAUCAAAUUAAUAGAAUAUAUAAAAUUAAAAAACUAAAUUUAUUAUAAUAUCAAUAAAAAAAUUCAUCACAACAUUUCACCAAAAUCAAAUUUCAAACUGAUAUUAACGUUUAAAAAAAUAAUUUUAAAUAACUUAAUGACUAAAAUAAAAAAAAUUAAAAAUUUAAUGACC
Molecule: long non-coding RNA, 18095 nt
Filed under: Gossypium barbadense (sea-island cotton)
Lineage: Eukaryota; Viridiplantae; Streptophyta; Magnoliopsida; Malvales; Malvaceae
Description: long non-coding RNA (GBAR_LNC014355)
Source: RNAcentral